This 73-nucleotide transfer RNA is filed under the name Mycobacteroides abscessus subsp. abscessus. RNAcentral describes it as "tRNA-Phe(gaa)". It matches the Rfam family "tRNA". From Rfam's summary of the family: Transfer RNA (tRNA) molecules are approximately 80 nucleotides in length. RNAcentral also lists the same sequence under 2 other names. Lineage: Bacteria; Bacillati; Actinomycetota; Actinomycetes; Mycobacteriales; Mycobacteriaceae. The record is from RNAcentral.
UGGGACCUAGCUUAGUUGGUAGAGCGCCCGCCUGAAAAGCGGGAGGCCCUGGUUCGAGUCCAGGGGUCGCAGC